AGAUUGGAAGCACAUGGCUUCAAAAGAUGGUAUGCACAGGCAGACCGAGGUCCUGAGAGACAGAGAUUAAAGAGAAGUGCCAGAAAUGUUGGAAUCUUUGCACAGUUUUGCAGAAGCCCUUUGGCUUGGUUUAGUUGCACCUGGCAGUAUUCCAAGUGGACCAAACUCUCUGAGGGCACAUUCAAAUAUGUGGUGUCAUCUGUGGUAUUUGCCUUGGCAGGAGAAAGUGUAGGAACUGUACACCAAGCAGGAGUAGGAACCACACCAAAACAAAGUAGUUUGAGGUAAGAACAUAAGCAGGCCCGAAUAAGCAAAUUUGGAACACAAUUCCAUGCACAAACAACACAAACUAGGCUACUACAAGUGUACAAAAUCACAUAUAGUGCAUUACUGCUUUAGGCAAAUAACAAAAGCAACACUGAGUAAUACAUAAUGAAAUAUAAUUGCAGAGCUUUUUCAGUGUUCCACUCUACAUUUAUAAAGAACUUCACUGUCCCCUCUUGCCAGUUUUCACAUGUGUUUAUCAUUUAAACAAAAAAAUAAACUUUAUUUGUAAAAAUUGUUCUCAGAGCUACCACAGAAAAUCUAUUGAUUCUCAAAGUGAUUAAAGCAUCCCUCCAUACCCCACAUCUGAUGCAGAACCAAGAUCGUCCUGCACUUGACCCUGGUACAGUAUGUGAUCAUCCAACCCCCCUGCAAGGGAGGGUAUAUCCUGUGUCAUCGGCUGAGAUGCUCAAUGACCAUCUUGAAUGUUGCAUGAUGUGUUUUUAUGGCUGACUCCCAAAUGACUUUAUCGUCCCUACUUCCCACUUCUGCCACCAGGGGGUUCCGUACAGACAGCUCUGUGUCCCCAUCACCUGACAUCAACACACAUGGAAUCGCCUCUCCCUGCAGAGCCAUCAUAGCAUCACUGCUGCCUUAAUGCUGACCUGAUCCAGUUGGUCAAUUCGCCCCCCAGCAACUGCUCAGAAACAGCUGACCAGAAGGUUCUGGGUAGACAAGGCCUAAUUAUGGCAAGUGCUGCUUACUCAUCUAAUUAACUGACCAAUCAGAUAUUUACAGGACACAUUUUCACAUUACAGGAAAAGUCAAUAUGCAUUUACCCGCCCUUGUCUGGGUAGAGCACGCAGAAUGUGUGCCCAUUGAUUUAGCUAACCACUUCCAUCAGGUUGGUCACUACACCACAUUAAGAUCAAUCUUGUAUGCGUGAUGUAUUUUGCUGUAGCAAGAAAAACAUCAGUUAGUUGUUAUGCCAGACAUUUUGUCUAAUUAAAUGACUCUCCUGACAAAAAAAACAUUAUACAUGUAACCAGAGUCUGUAAACACAACUAUUUAGUUGG
Long non-coding RNA from Sardina pilchardus (European sardine), 1340 nucleotides. RefSeq lists it as uncharacterized. NCBI's taxonomy places the organism in Eukaryota, Metazoa, Chordata, Actinopteri, Clupeiformes, Clupeidae. The record is from RefSeq and is a predicted model, not a curated record. The transcript is spliced from 3 exons.